This 478-nucleotide ribosomal RNA is filed under the name uncultured bacterium. RNAcentral's name for it is "partial 16S ribosomal RNA". It matches the Rfam family "Bacterial small subunit ribosomal RNA", at positions 28 to 523 of the family's 1533-position model. The record is from RNAcentral.
GACGAACGCUGGCGGCGUGCUUAACACAUGCAAGUCGAACGGUAAGGCCCUUCGGGGUACACGAGUGGCGAACGGGUGAGUAGCACGUGGGUGAUCUGCCCUGCACUUCGGGAUAAGCCUGGGAAACUGGGUCUAAUACCGGAUAGGACCCUGGGAUGCAUGUCCUGGGGUGGAAAGCUUUUGCGGUGUGGGAUGGGCCCGCGGCCGAUCAGCUUGUUGGGGGGGUGAUGGCCUACCAAGGCGACGACGGGUAGCCGGCCUGAGAGGGUGACCGGCCACACUGGGACUGAGGUACUGCCCAGGCUACUACGGGAGGCAGCAGUGGGGAAUAUUGCACAAUGGGCGCAAGGCUGAUGCAGCGACGCGGCGUGAGGGAUGACGGCCUUCGGGUUGUAAACCUCUUUCAGCACCGACGAAGCGCAAGUGACGGUAGGUGCAGAAGAAGGACCGGCCAACUACGUGCCAGCCGCCGCAGUAA